Molecule: ribosomal RNA, 538 nt
Filed under: soil fungal sp. DM2-207
Lineage: Eukaryota; Fungi
Description: eukaryotic LSU rRNA
Rfam family: Eukaryotic large subunit ribosomal RNA
Source: RNAcentral
AGAGCUCAAUUUAAAAUCUGGCUUGCUUGCAAGUCCGAGUUGUAGUCUGAAGAAACGUUUUCCAUGAAAGCUGAGGCACAAGUCCUUUGGAACAGGGCAUCAUAGAGGGUGAGAAUCCCGUCCAUGGUCUCAUGCAUUUCAUUUUGUGAUACGUUUUCUAAGAGUCAGGUUGUUUGGGAAUGCAGCCUAAAAUGGGUGGUAAAUUUCAUCUAAAGCUAAAUAUUGGCGAGAGACCGAUAGCGAACAAGUACCGUGAGGGAAAGAUGAAAAGAACUUUGAAAAGAGAGUUAAAAAGUACGUGAAAUUGUUGAAAGGGAACCGUUUGAAGCCAGUCUUGCUUACUUGUGAUCAAUCUUAGCUUCGGCUUGGAUGCACUCUCGAGUUAUGCAGGUCAACGUCAGUUUGAGAGGUGGGAAAAAAGUUUGAGGAAUGUGGCCUUCGGGUGUUAUAGCCUCUUACUAAAUACCAUCUCCUGGACUGAGGCUCGCAGCAAAAAUGUGGGUUGGUUUGCUCCUGAGGUGAAUCAUUAUUAAGACAG